UGUCAAGGUUGUGGCAGUACUUUAUGGC
RNAcentral lists this non-coding RNA (28 nucleotides) under Mus musculus (house mouse). Lineage: Eukaryota; Metazoa; Chordata; Mammalia; Rodentia; Muridae. The record is from RNAcentral.